GGCGCUAUCGUCUAUCGGUUAGGACUCAGGACUUUCAUUCCUGCAAGCGGGGUUCAACUCCCCGUAGCGCUACCA
RNAcentral lists this transfer RNA (75 nucleotides) under Minisyncoccota bacterium. RNAcentral's name for it is "tRNA-Glu". It matches the Rfam family "tRNA". From Rfam's summary of the family: Transfer RNA (tRNA) molecules are approximately 80 nucleotides in length. Their secondary structure includes four short double-helical elements and three loops (D, anti-codon, and T loops). Further hydrogen bonds mediate the characteristic L-shaped molecular structure. tRNAs have two regions of fundamental functional importance: the anti-codon, which is responsible for specific mRNA codon recognition, and the 3' end, to which the tRNAs corresponding amino acid is attached (by aminoacyl-tRNA synthetases). tRNAs cope with the degeneracy of the genetic code in two manners: having more than one tRNA (with a specific anti-codon) for a particular amino acid; and 'wobble' base-pairing, i.e. permitting non-standard base-pairing at the 3rd anti-codon position. Lineage: Bacteria; Bacillati; Minisyncoccota. The record is from RNAcentral.